CUUGGACGUCUGCUGAAUCAGUUGUGGGG
Molecule: unclassified non-coding RNA, 29 nt
Filed under: Mus musculus (house mouse)
Lineage: Eukaryota; Metazoa; Chordata; Mammalia; Rodentia; Muridae
Description: oocyte_clustered_small_RNA12949
Source: RNAcentral